Molecule: ribosomal RNA, 492 nt
Filed under: uncultured bacterium
Lineage: Bacteria
Description: partial 16S ribosomal RNA
Rfam family: Bacterial small subunit ribosomal RNA
Source: RNAcentral
GGUGAACGCUGGCGGUAGGCCUAACACAUGCAAGUCGAACGGCAGCACAGUAAGAGCUUGCUCUUACGGGUGGCGAGUGGCGGACGGGUGAGGAAUACAUCGGAAUCUACUUUUUCGUGGGGGAUAACGUAGGGAAACUUACGCUAAUACCGCAUACGACCUACGGGUGAAAGCAGGGGAUCUUCGGACCUUGCGCGAUUGAAUGAGCCGAUGUCGGAUUAGCUAGUUGGCGGGGUAAAGGCCCACCAAGGCGACGAUCCGUAGCUGGUCUGAGAGGAUGAUCAGCCACACUGGAACUGAGACACGGUCCAGACUCCUACGGGAGGCAGCAGUGGGGAAUAUUGGACAAUGGGCGCAAGCCUGAUCCAGCCAUACCGCGUGGGUGAAGAGGGCCUUCGGGUUGUAAAGCCCUUUUGUUGGGAAAGAAAAGCAGCAGGUUAAUACCCCGCUGUUCUGACGGUACCCAAAGAAUAAGCACCGGCUAACUUCGUG